This 603-nucleotide ribosomal RNA is filed under the name uncultured fungus. Its description in RNAcentral is "eukaryotic LSU rRNA". It matches the Rfam family "Eukaryotic large subunit ribosomal RNA", at positions 23 to 641 of the family's 3401-position model. The record is from RNAcentral. Lineage: Eukaryota; Fungi.
ACCCGCUGAACUUAAGCAUAUCAAUAAGCGGAGGAAAAGAAACCAACAGGGAUUGCCUCAGUAACGGCGAGUGAAGCGGCAACAGCUCAAAUUUGAAAUCUGGCCUUUACGGUCCGAGUUGUAAUUUGUAGAGGAUGUUUUGGGUACCGCCGUGGUUUAAAUUUCUUGGAACAGAAUGUCAGAGAGGGUGAGAGUCCCGUCUUGGAUCGCGGUAGGGCCUGUGUAAAACUCCUUCGACGAGUCGACUUGUUUGGGAAUGCAGGUCAAAAUGGGUGGUAAAUUUCAUCUAAAGCUAAAUAUUGGCCAGAGACCGAUAGCGCACAAGUAGAGUGAUCGAAAGAUGAAAAGCACUUUGAAAAGAGAGUUAAACAGUAUGUGAAAUUGUUGAAAGGGAAGCGCUGGCAACCAGACUCGUGCGCGGGGUUCCCCCUUGCUUCUGCUUGGGUCAUUUCCCCGUGUCCGGGCCAUCAUCAGUUUCGGGGGCCGGUCAAAGGCCUUGGGAAUGUAUCUACUCCUCCGGGGGUAGACUUAUAGCCCAGGGUGUCAUGCGGCCACUCGGGACUGAGGAACGCGCUUCGGCGAGGAUGAUGGCGUAAUGGUUGU